Molecule: long non-coding RNA, 2005 nt
Organism: Lates calcarifer (barramundi perch)
Lineage: Eukaryota; Metazoa; Chordata; Actinopteri; Centropomidae
Exons: 4
Source: RefSeq, a predicted model, not a curated record
GUGCGCGCGCGCACACACACACACGCACACACGCUGCAGUGAGUGCAGCUGUGGUUAUGAGCCUCAGUAAGCGCGCUAACCAAACCGAAGUUGGUGGAAACAAGCUACGGGACUUAAGUACUUAUUGGGAGAACAGAGGCAAAACGAAGCAACAAACUGUGCCAAUAACACAAGGGAGGCGGGAGAAAGCACCUGCUUUUAGGAAAUGUUCUCGGGUCAAGGGAAUUAAAACAAGCGAGACUGUGGGACUAAGUUAGCUACUGCAAUUCUCGAGUUAGCAUUGAUGCUAGCUAGCCUUGCUAGUGACAACCAACCACCUAGCUUAACAGCGCGAUUGUGAGAAUUCAUUUUCCAAGAUGGUUGUCGAAAAAAUGAAGGAAUACAUCGAUAAUUUACAUGUAAUAUGCUGGUUGCCCCCAAAAUUUAUCGUGGUGGAUUCUUCUGCAGAAGGAAAGGCACAGAACAAACACCAAGGCAGGGGUGCACCAGCCGGUGAGAAGUCAGUCCACCUUUUUCCUGUCCUGGCAUCUCAAGGACGCCCGAGGGAGCCAGACGUCAGCGUCACCGCAGCCAUCAACCACCGUCACCAUCAUCGACACUAACAUCAUCCUCGACGUGUGGAAGUCUCUCGGUGAAUGCAGCCCAAAUGAGUCAGAACGCUCCCAGGGGUCGUCGUCGUCACGGAGAUCAGGAUUACAGACUGCAGGUCUCUCGCUGGAGCAGUAGCCGCUGAUACAGCCAAUUACAAACCAGGUCUUGCAGAAAGGAUGGAAUUGGAGAGGAACAUCAAACGACAGCAGACCUGCCAGACCUUUAAUUGUUCCUCUGCUGUGGCCUGAGCCUACAAUUGGCUCCACCAUUCAGAAAUAAUGAGACUGCAGUGCCAAGCCUGCGGUCAGCUCCACCACCAAUCAGGAGUGACCCAGUGACACAAGAGUCAGUCCCGGAUGUGAUGGUUCAAUCCAAGAUGGCAGAGCGCCAGCGAAACAUGUUCUGAUUGUUUUGUUAAUGAUGGAUGAUUGAACUGUGGCAGUAAAACACAAAACACCAGAAAUAAAUCAAUUCAUCACAGACAAAUGCUGAAAAUGACUAAUUCAGUGAGAUUUUACGGGCAUCCGAUUUGCAUGAGUGUGUGCUGGGACAACAAGACUUUCCUGGUCCCUGAGUCAGUAUAUCACCCACUACAGAACGUAGCCAACUUGGAUGAGGACACUGUUGGAUGAGAAAUAAAGAGAAAGGAAACAAAUGAGACAUUCACUUUACAAAAGCAAGUGAUCAGUGAGCGAUGAGGUUUAGGCUCUAGAGACGUUUGACCCUCCAAAAGAAGAGGAUAAUGGAUAAAAUAACAACAGAAAUGAUACACUCCAGGAAUACUAUCUGACCCAAUACUGAAAAAAACAAGCUACGCUGUUGGAGAUUUCCUUUCAUGUUCCUUUGUCAUUGAUUAAACGUGGUGCAUCAUUUAAUAAAUCUUCUUUUAAAUAUUAUGGAAUCAGCAUGGUAAUUGUGACCUUUUGUGAUGAAAUGCGGGUCUCUAGAGUGAGUGUGUGUUCAUGGCGUUCGGCCACUAAUGAUUCAUUUUUUCAGUAAAACUCACAUGUAAUUACCAAUGUGCCAAGGUGUAAAACAUAAAACAGACACCCUGUUUUCUUGUUGCUGGCUUUGCUGUCCUGUUGGCUUGACUUUUGUGGGAAAGAUUAGUGCAUGGAUGUAUUCCUCACUAUAAUUACACAUAUGAAAGCAGGGGUGUUAAAAUUAAAAAGAAGUGACAUUUAUGAAAGGAGUAAUCAACCCUUUUGACCUGCAACCACUGAAAAUAAACAGAUGUUCAUUCACAGUCGAACCACAAUCUAAAAAUGAGCUGGGAAUGUCAAAUAAUCACUGAGCCAAAAGACUCAACAUUAACACUCACAACUGUCAACUAUCACCAUAUAUUCUAACCAUGCUAUGUCACAGGGCAGUGCAGAAAACAUUUAUUAAAGGGCAAUAAUGAAUAAGCUUUGCU